AAAAUAAAUUAGAAAAUAGCGUUCUAACGCAAAAUACCCUUUCACUGUUCAUUGCCUCUCCCAAUCUCAUUCUCAAGCAACAAACCAAAGAACAGCGAAGGAAAAAGAAAAUCUCUUUCGCACCAACAAGGGGGCGGAGAGACUGUUCUUGAGGUGCUUCAAUGGCGGAGAAACCCCAACCGGUGCGCGUUUUGUACUGUCCGGUCUGCAGUCUACCGGCCGAGUAUUGUGAAUUUGGACCCGAUUUCGAGAAAUGCAAGCCCUGGUUGAUCCAAAAUGCUCCCGACCUCUAUCCUGAUCUUCUCAAAGAGGCCAAUGCGAAGGAAGCUGGUGAAGUUUCUAAUCAACUGCAGUCCACCAGUAUCUCAUCUGCUGCUGGCGAUGGAGCUGCUUCUUCAGGACCUAAGCAAGAGGAAGUGAAACGUCUUCCCGGUGGCAAGAUAAAGAAAAAAGAUAAGCAAGAAGUUAUUAUUGAGAAGGUUACACGAAAUAAGAGAAAGUGCAUUACAACUGUAAAAGGAUUAGACCUUUUUGGAGUUAAGCUAAGUGAUGCUUCAAAGAAACUUGGGAAAAAGUUUGCUACUGGUGCUUCUGUGGUUAAGGGGCCAACUGAGAAAGAGCAAAUUGAUGUUCAAGGUGACAUAGCCUAUGACAUCGUGGAUUUCAUUACGGAGACUUGGCCUGAUGUUCCAGAAACUGCAAUUUUCUUCAUCGAAGAUGGGAAAAAGGUUCCUGCUGCUUGACAUUGAAAUCGUGGCAAACAAAUAAUAUGGACUUAUGUGCAUCCUUUUCCCUACUUGUGCGAGUCCUUUUAAGAUUCCACAAGCAGGCGGACGGUGCGCUGAUGGAUGGUCGGUCUGCUUGUGGUUGGUACUAGAAGCUACAGAGUUGGCAUUGCAUUGGCACAACUUCAACCACAACCACAAGUCAGGUUAUUAUUAUUAUUAUCAUUAAUAUACUUGAUUAUUUUUAGAGUGUGUGUGUGACUUUUAAGUGCCCUCCUUUUCCCUUUGCCCUUUGCUUGCUAUACCUUUACCUUUUGGUACUUCCCUACCGAAAGUGUUUUGAAUUAGCGUAGUUUGUGUUUUGUUUGGACCUUAAGAAACCGGAUUAGGUCCCCAUUAAACUAAUGGGCCUCUAAAUUAAAUACCCUUAAUCAUCCUUAAUCCUUUCUUUAGGUAACUUCUUAAGUAGGUGGGAUUUGUUAAUUAAAAAAAAAGUUGAUGUAGGA
Molecule: RNA transcript, 1231 nt
Organism: Cucumis sativus (cucumber)
Lineage: Eukaryota; Viridiplantae; Streptophyta; Magnoliopsida; Cucurbitales; Cucurbitaceae
Gene name: translation machinery-associated protein 22
Exons: 8
Source: RefSeq, a predicted model, not a curated record